Molecule: long non-coding RNA, 203 nt
Organism: Catharus ustulatus (Swainson's thrush)
Lineage: Eukaryota; Metazoa; Chordata; Aves; Passeriformes; Turdidae
Exons: 3
Source: RefSeq, a predicted model, not a curated record
CUCCACGUACAGGUAACCCCGGACAUGCUCUGGGGCCACCACCGACUUGAUCUGCAGGGGCUGGAACAGGUGAGACACAGGUGAGAUACAGGUAAGGGACAGGUGUGAUACAGGUAACAGACAGGUGAGACACAGGUGUGACAGCCCUGCUUGACGUGCGUCUGCUUGUACGCCUCCACGUACAGGUAACCCCGGACAUGCUC